GAUGAACGCUGGCGGCGUGCCUUAUACAUGCAAGUCGAGCGAACGCACGAGGAGCUUGGUCCUGUUGCUGUAGCGGGGGACGGGGGAGUGAAACGUAGCGAACCUAGCUAUAUGGCUGGGGUAACCUCGGGGAACGGUAGCUAAUUCCGGAUAAUAUUUCGAGGCGGAUGGUUCGAGAGUUUAAGACGGUGUUGCUAUAACUCAUAGGAUGACCUGCGCCGUAUUAGCUAGUUGGUAAGGUAACGGCUUACCAAGGCAACGAUACGUAGCCGACCUGAGAGGGUGAUCGGCCACACUGGAACUGAGACACGGUCCAGACUCCUACGGGAGGCAGCAGUAGGGAAUCUUCCGCAAUGGGCGAAAGCCUGACGGAGCAACGCCGCGUGAGUGAUGAAGGUCUUCUGAUCGUAAAACUCUGUUAUUAGGGAAGAACAAACGUGUAAGUAACUGUGCACGUCUUGACGGUACCUAAUCAGAAAGCAACGGCUAACUACGUG
RNAcentral lists this ribosomal RNA (497 nucleotides) under uncultured bacterium. Its description in RNAcentral is "partial 16S ribosomal RNA". It matches the Rfam family "Bacterial small subunit ribosomal RNA", at positions 28 to 507 of the family's 1533-position model. The record is from RNAcentral.